RNAcentral lists this ribosomal RNA (454 nucleotides) under uncultured Anaerolineaceae bacterium. Its description in RNAcentral is "bacterial SSU rRNA". It matches the Rfam family "Bacterial small subunit ribosomal RNA", at positions 916 to 1381 of the family's 1533-position model. Lineage: Bacteria; Bacillati; Chloroflexota; Anaerolineae; Anaerolineales; Anaerolineaceae. The record is from RNAcentral.
ACGGGACCCGCACAAGCAGCGGAGCGUGUGGUUUAAUUCGAUGCUACACGAAGAACCUUACCAGGGUUUGACAUGCAAGUGGUAGGAAUCUGAAAAGGGACCGACCCUUCGGGGAGCUUGCACAGGUGCUGCAUGGCUGUCGUCAGCUCGUGUCGUGAGAUGUUCGGUUAAGUCCGCUAACGAGCGCAACCCUCGUCGUAUGUUAUAUGUGUCAUACGAGACUGCCGGUAAAAGCCGGAGGAAGGUGAGGAUGAUGUCAAGUCAGCAUGACCUUUAUAUCCAGGGCUACACACACGCUACAAUGGUCUGUACAAUGGGUAGCCAAGCCGCGAGGCGGAGCCAAUCCUGAAAGCAGGCCUCAGUUCAGAUUGCAGUCUGCAACUCGACUGCAUGAAGCCGGAGUUGCUAGUAACCGCAGGUCAGCAAUACUGCGGUGAAUACGUUCCCGGGUCUU